Molecule: long non-coding RNA, 728 nt
Filed under: Homo sapiens (human)
Lineage: Eukaryota; Metazoa; Chordata; Mammalia; Primates; Hominidae
Description: non-protein coding lnc-NR5A2-2:1
Source: RNAcentral
GAAGCCAAAAACCUAGAAAGAGACGUUUGCUUUAUUGAUAUUGUCUGCAAUGAAAUUCCAGAGCACUACGACAAAGAAUCUGAGGAUCCUAAACACUUCAAGUCAGAGAAGACAGGAUGGGGACAGUUAAGGGCAGGCUGAAUAGAUAGACAUCAGCCCAUCAUGUGCUUCUACAAGCUGGAGACCACCAGUGAGGUUGGAGGUCUGGAGGCUUCAGACCAAAGUAGGGCAAUUUGUACACAAGUCAGUCAAAGACGACAUAGGCUUUUGCAUGGGUUGAUGAAUGGUACAUGAUAAUGGAUGAUGUUCAGGAAUAUGAAAAAAACAUGCCUGAGCAAACUAACAUAAAAAGUUUGCAAUCAACAUUCCUCGCCUGCAAAUGACAUAGUGAGUCAUGCCCAAACAAGUACAUGACAACUGAUGAAGUCUGAUAAUUUGAACGAGCCAUUCAGGAAGCCAUCAAGAAGAAAAUUGGCAUUGUCCCACCUGCAAUUUCUAGCUCAAGCAUUCCCCGACUGCCUUCUUCUGGCAGCAGUCCCCUUCUAGUGCUUCAUCACUCCAUCACCCCUCGUUCCACAGAUGUACCUGAAUUGCUGUCAGGUCCCAAAUAUUGGCCCCGGAAAAAGUCUGCCCCAGUAACACUCAUGCUUCCAGACCCUGAGAAAAAAAGCCACCCUGAAUGUACUUGGCACAUACUCUUCAGAUAAACGACGUCAGCAUAAAUCAGA